Molecule: ribosomal RNA, 301 nt
Filed under: uncultured bacterium
Lineage: Bacteria
Description: partial 16S ribosomal RNA
Rfam family: Bacterial small subunit ribosomal RNA
Source: RNAcentral
CAGCCGCCGCGGUAAUACGGAGGGUGCAAGCGUUAAUCGGAAUUACUGGGCGUAAAGCGCACGCAGGCGGUCUGUCAAGUCAGAUGUGAAAUCCCCGGGCUUAACCUGGGAACUGCAUUUGAAACUGGCAGGCUAGAGUCUUGUAGAGGGGGGUAGAAUUCCAGGUGUAGCGGUGAAAUGCGUAGAGAUCUGGAGGAAUACCGGUGGCGAAGGCGGCCCCCUGGACAAAGACUGACGCUCAGGUGCGAAAGCGUGGGGAGCAAACAGGAUUAGAUACCCCGGUAGUCCCUGUCUCUUAUAA